UUGAGCACCUACGUACUUGUCUUGAUGUCACACACACCAAUGACUCAAGACUAGUCACUCUCCCUGAGAGAAGACACAACACGUAUUGAUCUUAACGGACUGUCAAUGCCCAAUUGGCAAUCCUAUGAUCAGGAGCGUUUAGGAUGUGUCUACGAAAGAAUGGUCUCAUGAAUCUAACUUCUUUAGAUCUCAUUCUCCCAAUCACAUAUUCCUUGGACUUAUCGUUUAAGCGUAUAACAUUUAUAUGAGACGGCUCAAACAAUAAUCUUUGCCCUUUAUAUUAAACUAGAUUAGUUUAACAUGUGAAAUGUCCGUAAAGUAUCAUCAUAUGAUUGGUUUUAGGGCACAUUUCUAACAGUUUUGACAGACUAUCACAAAUGUAAGGCAUCUUUGGGUGUCGUUUAACUAGUACUUGUUUUCUGGACUGAACUUAGGCUACUUGCGCUCUAAUUAUGUAUUCACACAUAUUCUAGCACUUGUCUUAACCAGUACUCUUAUGUGUUGGUUUUUCAUUUAUUCGUACUCUCUAUUAUCAUUAUUGCUUCUGCACUAUGCACAUUGCUACAUCACCCUCACGUGACGGCUAGCAUGCCUCGAUCUCGGUCGGGGUGUGUCAAACAUCAUUUUUUCUUCUAAGUUCUUUAUUUUAGUUUUAUUUCUUAUUUACUUUAAUAUUUUUUAUAAUCCAUGUAAGUAUCCCUGUCAUUUGAUGAUUAAUGAACUUCCACAUCACUUUUAAUGAGGUCCCUUGGAUGUUAUGCAAUCUAAAGGCUCAUAAAGGGUGCAAAAAUAUUUGAGUAGUGUUCAGAGUCCUUGCUUCCUAAAUACUUGAUGUCAUACUUCAUUCCCAAAAGUUAAUUUGAAAUUUAGUGAGUUUAAAAAUUUAGAACCUUAAAA
Molecule: long non-coding RNA, 897 nt
Filed under: Malus domestica (apple)
Lineage: Eukaryota; Viridiplantae; Streptophyta; Magnoliopsida; Rosales; Rosaceae
Description: long non-coding RNA (MDOM_LNC012841)
Source: RNAcentral